CUUUCGACUCACCUAUCACCUAUCGGGUUCCCCAGCCUGCGGGGUGCAACCCCACUCCUCCCCUUCCCACCCAGUGGCUUCCCCUGCACCUUGUCACCCCUUUUGGGAGCCAUCCAAAUCCCACGCCAUCCCUGAGCUGCAGGGCUCUGGGAGAACUUCAGCUCAGCCAACAGGAAGGGAGCUCAGUUUUCAGGGCACGCUAGUCAGACCCGGCGGCAGAGGUGGAGAAGGGGGCCCCCAACCCCGGCCGAGGUGGAGCCCAGUCUGCAAGGGGCUGCAGCGGCAAUGCCUAGGCCCAGAGGCAGGCGGGGAGCAGGGGACGCAGGCGCUGGCCAAGUUGCCCAGUUUGGGUUCGAAUUUGAGACCUUCCUGCCACAGCCUCCCAGAGUGCGGGAUGACAGGCGUGCGGUAUCUGGCUCCCCCACCAUCGUCACCUUUGGAUUUCUGCCUCAAUACCUAACGGGUGCCCCUUCAUUCCCUCCACCCCCCAGCCCCACAGUGAUUUCCCAAAAUACAGAUCCGAUCAGGGCAUCCUCCCCUUAAAGAUGACAGGGACUGGUCUGUCCUCAGGUCCCUCUCCAGCCUUCCCCUUCCCUGCUGCUCCUCACCUCCUUCCUUUCUCCAAUCCAGACGAAUGGCAAAUGCCUUUUACAAUUUAAAGCGGUUCUGGUUCUUUUUGCUUUGAGACAGGGUCCACUAUGCGGUCCAGGCAGGCCUUCAACUCUCAGUGAUCCUCCUGCCUCAGCCUUCUGAGUGCUGGGAGUACAGGCUUGGGCCUCAGUUUUUAAAAAACUGAGUUAGAAGCUGGGCGUGGUGGUGCACUCAGGAGGCAGAGAGACUGUCUCAAAACAGAACAAAACUGAGAUGGGGAUCAGGAGCGCACAGCUGUCUACAACUCCUGGGCUCCAGCAGUCCCACCCCCUCAGCCUUCUCAGUGGCAAGGACUGCAAGCCUGUAUCACCACUCUGGCUCCAUCUUGAAUCCUUUAAAAAUGCUGUUAACGAAAAAAAGAAAUAAAAAAAUAAAAAUGC
This is a long non-coding RNA of Cavia porcellus (domestic guinea pig), 1031 nucleotides long. RefSeq lists it as uncharacterized. The transcript is spliced from 3 exons. Lineage: Eukaryota; Metazoa; Chordata; Mammalia; Rodentia; Caviidae. The record is from RefSeq and is a predicted model, not a curated record.